Long non-coding RNA from Erpetoichthys calabaricus (reedfish), 396 nucleotides. RefSeq lists it as uncharacterized. The record is from RefSeq and is a predicted model, not a curated record. NCBI's taxonomy places the organism in Eukaryota, Metazoa, Chordata, Cladistia, Polypteriformes, Polypteridae. The transcript is spliced from 4 exons.
UUUUAGACCCGGAAGUGACGUUACCAUUUCUAGGCAAGACGAAAACAACACCUCCAUUUAUCGAACACAAGUCUUGGUUUUUAGCACGAGCGCAGCAUUUUCGAGCACAAACAAAAUAUGACAGAAAACAGCACGUAACAAGACAAAACGAAUAUCUUCAGGCACAUGGAUACUAAUUAAAAACAAGUGUGAUUUACCCUUGAUCAGGAGGUGCUGGUGCUUUAUUCUAUUGGAGAAUUUUGCUGUUGGAAGUUAUCUCUUUCUCUGUGGCUAACGUGUGAAUAUUUCGUACAGGACAAAGGCGUUCACUAAAGGAACCACUAAUAAAAAAGGACCUCCACACUGCAGUAAAAUGGUUGCGCCAACAUAGACGGUUGUUCAGAGGUGCCGUGUCUG